UCGUCACGUGAGAGAAGGGGAGCUUGCUCCCGGAUGUUAGCGGCGGACGGGUGAGUAACACGUGGGUAACCUGCCUGUAAGACUGGGAUAACUCCGGGAAACCGGAGCUAAUACCGGAUAGUUCCUUGAACCGCAUGGUUCAAGGAUGAAAGACGGUUUCGGCUGUCACUUACAGAUGGACCCGCGGCGCAUUAGCUAGUUGGUGGGGUAAUGGCUCACCAAGGCGACGAUGCGUAGCCGACCUGAGAGGGUGAUCGGCCACACUGGGACUGAGACACGGCCCAGACUCCUACGGGAGGCAGCAGUAGGGAAUCUUCCGCAAUGGACGAAAGUCUGACGGAGCAACGCCGCGUGAGUGAUGAAGGUUUUCGGAUCGUAAAGCUCUGUUGUUAGGGAAGAACAAGUGCGAGAGUAACUGCUCGCACCUUGACGGUACCUAACCAGAAAGCCACGGCUAACUACGUGCCAGCAGCCGCGGUAAUACGUAGGUGGCAAGCGUUGUCCGGAAUUAUUGGGCGUAAAGGGCUCGCAGGCGGUUUCUUAAGUCUGAUGUGAAAGCCCCCGGCUCAACCGGGGAGGGUCAUUGGAAACUGGGAAACUUGAGUGCAGAAGAGGAGAGUGGAAUUUCCACGUGUAGCGGUGAAAUGCGUAGAGAUGUGGAGGAACACCCAGUGGCGAAGGCGACUCUCUGGUCUGUAACUGACGCUGAGGAGCGAAAGCGUGGGGAGCGAACAGGAUUAGAUACCCUGGUAGUCCACGCCGUAAACGAUGAGUGCUAAGUGUUAGGGGGUUUCCGCCCCUUAGUGCUGCAGCUAACGCAUUAAGCACUCCGCCUGGGGAGUACGGUCGCAAGACUGAAACUCAAAGGAAUUGACGGGGGCCCGCACAAGCGGUGGAGCAUGUGGUUUAAUUCGAAGCAACGCGAAGAACCUUACCAGGUCUUGACAUCCUCUGACAACCCUAGAGAUAGGGCUUUCCCUUCGGGGACAGAGUGACAGGUGGUGCAUGGUUGUCGUCAGCUCGUGUCGUGAGAUGUUGGGUUAAGUCCCGCAACGAGCGCAACCCUUGAUUUUAGUUGCCAGCAUUCAGUUGGGCACUUUAAGGUGACUGCCGGUGACAAACCGGAGGAAGGUGGGGAUGACGUCAAAUCAUCAUGCCCCUUAUGACCUGGGCUACACACGUGCUACAAUGGACAGAACAAAGGGCUGCAAGACCGCAAGGUUUAGCCAAUCCCAUAAAUCUGUUCUCAGUUCGGAUCGCAGUCUGCAACUCGACUGCGUGAAGCUGGAAUCGCUAGUAAUCGCGGAUCAGCAUGCCGCGGUGAAUACGUUCCCGGGCCUUGUACACACCGCCCGUCACACCACGAGAGUUUGCAACACCCGAAGUCGGUGAGGUAACCUUUAUGGAGCCAGCCGCCGAAGGUGGGGCAGAUGAUUGGGGGAAGU
Molecule: ribosomal RNA, 1445 nt
Filed under: Bacillus pumilus
Lineage: Bacteria; Bacillati; Bacillota; Bacilli; Caryophanales; Bacillaceae
Description: bacterial SSU rRNA
Rfam family: Bacterial small subunit ribosomal RNA
Source: RNAcentral